RNAcentral lists this ribosomal RNA (205 nucleotides) under uncultured bacterium. RNAcentral's name for it is "partial 16S ribosomal RNA". It matches the Rfam family "Bacterial small subunit ribosomal RNA", at positions 524 to 728 of the family's 1533-position model. The record is from RNAcentral.
UACGUAGGGCGCAAGCGUUGUCCGGAAUUAUUGGGCGUAAAGAGCUCGUAGGCGGUCUGUCGCGUCUGUUGUGAAAACUCGAGGCUCAACCUCGGGCUUGCAGUGGAUACGGGCAGACUAGAGUGCGGUAGGGGAGACUGGAAUUCCUGGUGUAGCGGUGGAAUGCGCAGAUAUCAGGAGGAACACCGAUGGCGAAGGCGGCUCA